Molecule: ribosomal RNA, 999 nt
Filed under: Nanobdellota archaeon
Lineage: Archaea; Nanobdellati; Nanobdellota
Description: partial 23S ribosomal RNA
Rfam family: Archaeal large subunit ribosomal RNA
Source: RNAcentral
UGCUAACCCGGGAGGGGACACCAACAGGUGGGCAGUUUGGCUGGGGCGGCACCCUGCGGAAAAGAUAUCAGUAGGGCCUAAUGGUAAGCUCAUCCAGGUUGGAAAUCUGGAGUUGAGUGCGAAGGCAAAAGCUUACCUGACUGUAUUUCGCACAGCAAAGAAUGCAGAGACGAAAGUCGGGCUUAGCGACCCCACGUAGUUUUUUAAUAGGACUCGUGUGUGUCAGAAAAGGUACCUCAAGGAUAACAGGCUUGUCGCGCCCGAUAGUUCAUAUUGACGGCGCGGUUUGGUACAUCGCUGUCGGCUCUUCCUAUCCUGGUUGUGCAUAAGCAACCAAGGGUGUCGGAGUUCACGCAUUAAAAGGGAUCGUUAGCUGGGUUAAGAACGUCAAAAUAAAGCUAACUGAUUUAACCAAAUCGCAACUAUCAAAAACGCGGCGUUGUGUCGAAGUGAUUCGACAAAAAAUAAAAUCAGCUCAUAUCGGAGAAGCCUUAUAUACAAAAAAUAUUACAUGGUAACCCCGAGGGAAGUCGUAAUUGACCCCGUAGAGACUUAGAUUUUCCUUAAAUGGAAUAGGAAUCGUCAAAUUCUGAUAAAAUCUGGAAGUUCAAUAAAAUGAACUUAAUACGCUGAUGCCUCAAACUCGUAAGAGUUCUGAGGACAUGGUAUAGUCCACUCUAUAGCAAAUGAAUAAGUUAUAGGUAAAGUACGCGAGACAGUUUGUAUGAUAUCUACUAGGCGCGCAGUUGUCUGAGUGGAACGAGUAUCUAGUACGAGAGGAACGGUACUCGGAUGCCUCUGGUAUAUCGGUUGUUAUGAAGCAGGCCGAGCAGCUACGCAUUGUAUGGAUAAGUACUGAAAGCAUCUAAGUACGAAGCCAUCCGCAAGACGAGACAACAAAGGCCGUCGAAGAAGACGACGUUGAUAGAGUUGGCGUGUAAGAUCCAAGAACACGAGGAUUUGAGCGCGCAACUACUAAUAGCCUCAAAUGUAUUCAUA